This 1611-nucleotide ribosomal RNA is filed under the name Triticum aestivum (bread wheat). RNAcentral's name for it is "partial small subunit ribosomal RNA". Lineage: Eukaryota; Viridiplantae; Streptophyta; Magnoliopsida; Poales; Poaceae. The record is from RNAcentral.
AUGAUCACAUGUUGUUAUGGUGGAACCACAUUGGCAAAUGUCUCAUGGCAAGCUUCACAGUUUCAGGCCAACGCUAUUGCAGAUAGAGCACAUCAAAUUGGAAUGACAAACCAGAUACGAUCACCACAUGCGGCACAACAAGGACCUUCAACUACAAUCAACAGCGGCACAGGGACAUCUACUGCGGGAACCUCUGAGCACACGGAAGAAGCGUUCCACCAGCCAGCCAACAAUCAUGCCACAAACAAUGCAGAGUCAGUGUCGGAAAUGGCAAUCGUUCCAGCAAUGCCGACAAGCACACCUUUGCACACCAGCACAAGCAACACUCAAGCAGAUGAAACAGCCGCCGAUACUGAAGUGAAUGAUGAAACUGAUGACGAAGCACAAGGGGAUGAAGAAGAUGGGCAAUCAGAAAUCAUGGUACCUCAGCCACCGUAUGUUGGGCAGAGAUUUGAUUCGUUCGAAGAUGCCAAAGAAUUCUACCAGAGAUAUGCAAUGUUCCAUGGGUUUGCGGUCAACACCGAAUACCAUAGGAAAAUUAAAAAAACUAACGAGUACAGCAGAGGUGAGAUGAGGCGCUACAAGGCACGAAGGAACAAGAAGGGUCAAGAUGGAGCACGGUGGGUGGUCACUGAAUAUUUUGACGAGCACAACCACGAACUCAUAAAGAAGUUUGGCUUGGUAAAAAAAUUUAGCGCCCACAAAGGAUUCACCCCCCUCGAGAAGAAAUUCAUAAAGCUGCUACAUGAUUGUAACGUCGGUCCAUCAAGAAUGGUCCAAAUACUGUCCCUCAUCCACAGCGGAGAUGGUAGACUGAGUAGCAUGCCCUACAUACCAGCAGACGUCACAAACCUAAAGGCAAAGUACCGUAGAGAGAGAAGGUUGGCUGACAUAGAAGACACGAUAGCCUACUUCGAUGAGAAAGCAAAAGCAGAUCCAGAUUUCUUCUACAGGAUAACAUUGGAUGAUGAGGACCGUGUCAGGAGCAUGUAUUGGGUGGAUGGUGCUGCAAGAAGAGAUUGCAUUUCGUUCGACGUGACAUAUCUCACUAAUAUGUACAAGAUGCCAUGCGCUCCAUUCAUAGGAAUAAAUAACCACAAUCAGUCAUUGCAGUUCGGAUGCGAGCUCGUUCAGAACGAAGACACGGAUAGGUACACUUGGCUGUUCAAAACCUUCUUGGAGUGCAUGGGUGGACUUGCUCCGAUGAACAUAAUAAUAGACCAGGAUUUUAGCAUGCGUGCAGGCAUAGAGGAGGUCUUUCCGUUGGCAGUGCACAGGCACUGCAGGUGGCAUAUUAUAAAGAAGGCUGAGGAGACGCUAGGACCGUUCUUUGCUGACCGUCCAGAGCUGCACAAGGCAUUCGAGUUGUGCGUGGACGACAGCUUGACGGUGGAGGACGAGGGGUUCAAUGCUGUUCUGAAGCGGUACGUGAGCCCUGGCAACUCAUUGCUGCAGUUUGCCAAGCAAUACACAGCUUUGCAACAGAAAAUACUGGGAUCUGAGCUACAGCAAGAAGCAAACACCGCGCUCAAGCAGCCUAAAUUGCUAACAUAUUUACCAAUGGAGAGGCAGAUGAGCAAGACAUAUACCAACAAGAUUUUUAACAAUUGA